AUUUGUCUGGUUAAUUCCGAUAACGAACGAGACCUUAACCUGCUAACUAGAUUCUAUUCAUCUUAUGAUUGUUAUCUUCUUAGAGGGACUAUGUAAAACAAAUACAUGGAAGUUUGAGGCAAUAACAGGUCAGUGAUGCCCUUAUAUGUCCUGGGCUGCACGCGUGCUACACUGAUGCAUACAACAAGUGCCUAACCAGACAUGGUAUGGCAAUCUCGAAUAUGCAUCGUGAUAGGGAUAGAUCUUUGCAAUUAUAGAUCUUGAACGAGGAAUUCCUAGUAAGUGCAAGUCAUCAUCUUGCAUUGACUAUGUCCCUGCCCUUUGUACACACCGCCCGUCGCUCCUACCGAUACCGGGUGAUCCGGUGAACCUUUUGGACCUGUAUGGGGAAGAUAAGUAAACCAUAUCACCUAGAGGAAGGAGAAGUCGUAACAAGGUUUCCGUAGGUGAACCUGCRGAAGGAUCA
This 466-nucleotide ribosomal RNA is filed under the name uncultured ciliate. Its description in RNAcentral is "SSU rRNA". It matches the Rfam family "Eukaryotic small subunit ribosomal RNA". Lineage: Eukaryota; Ciliophora. The record is from RNAcentral.